Molecule: ribosomal RNA, 253 nt
Filed under: uncultured bacterium
Lineage: Bacteria
Description: partial 16S ribosomal RNA
Rfam family: Bacterial small subunit ribosomal RNA
Source: RNAcentral
UACAGAGGGUGCGAGCGUUGCCCGGAAUCACUGGGCGUAAAGGGCGCGUAGGCGGCCUGAUAAGUAGGGGGUGAAAUCCUGUGGCUUAACUGCAGGGCUGCCUCCUAGACUGUUAGGCUCGAGCACGGUAGAGGCAGAUGGAAUUCCCGGUGUAGCGGUGGAAUGCGUAGAGAUCGGGAAGAACAUCGGUGGCGAAGGCGGUCUGCUGGGCCGUUGCUGACGCUGAGGCGCGACAGCGUGGGGAGCAAACAGG